This 253-nucleotide ribosomal RNA is filed under the name uncultured bacterium. RNAcentral's name for it is "partial 16S ribosomal RNA". It matches the Rfam family "Bacterial small subunit ribosomal RNA", at positions 524 to 776 of the family's 1533-position model. The record is from RNAcentral.
GACGAACCGAGCGAACGUUGUUCGGAAUCACUGGGCUUAAAGGGCGCGUAGGCGGGUAUUCAAGUCCGUGGUGAAAUCCUCCGGCUCAACCGGAGAACUGCCUCGGAUACUGGAUGUCUCGAGGGUGGCAGGGGUAUGCGGAACUAUCGGUGGAGCGGUGAAAUGCGUUGAUAUCGAUAGGAACUCCGGUGGCGAGGGCGGCAUACUGGUCCACUUCUGACGCUGAGGCGCGAAAGCCAGGGGAGCAAACGGG